Sphaerodactylus townsendi is the source of this 5196-nucleotide RNA transcript. It is a transcript of the gene named zinc finger protein 346, with no coding region annotated. The transcript is spliced from 8 exons. Lineage: Eukaryota; Metazoa; Chordata; Lepidosauria; Squamata; Sphaerodactylidae. The record is from RefSeq and is a predicted model, not a curated record.
AGCGGGCACUUGGGGGGCGGCGACGCUGGGACAAAAUGGCGGAGGAAACGGGUAGCAACGGGGACGCUUUAGUUUUGCCGGUGGGAAAGGAGGCAGUGGAUCGACUCAUCAAAGAAAACAGCUACAUCUUCACUGACACCCAGUGCAAAGUGUGUAGUGCAGUGCUGAUCUCUGAGUCACAGAAGCUUGCUCACUACCAGAGUAAGAAACAUGCAAACAAAGUCCGUCGAUACAUGUCUAUCCAUGGUGAGGAAGAACUCAGCCAAAGCAAGAAAAUAAAACUGGACACAAAGCAGGAUAGCAAUGGAGAAGACAGGAACAAAUGCUGUCCCAUCUGUAAUAUGACCUUCUCCUCACCUGUUGUGGCUAAUUCCCACUACCUAGGCAAGACCCAUACCAAGAAUCUGAAGCUGAAGUCUCUGAAAGAAGAAGCUGUAAUACCUGCUGAGAACCAACCCACUGAUUCACCUCCAACUACUGUGUCCUCUAAUGAAGAGAACCAAAACACUUCUGACCCGGACAAAUUCUGCAGUCUCUGCCAUGCCACAUUCAAUAACCCACUGAUGGCAAAACAGCACUAUGUAGGCAAGAAACACAAAAAGCAGGAGACCAAACUAAAGCUAAUGGCACACUACGGGAGAACACCUGAGGAACCUGCUGCUUCAACAGCUGGGAAGGGUUAUCCCUGCAAUACCUGCAACAUAGUACUGAACUCUAUUGAGCAAUACCAAGCUCACAUCAGUGGUUUCAAACACAAGAACCAAAUACCAGGAGCAGUACCCAUCACAGGACGGUACCAAAAGCAGCCAUACACACGAGAGGAGACAACAGGCCCUGAUGGUUACAGCUGCUUUAGUCAGGACUUCUAGAGCAAGCUCCAUUGGAUUUGGAUUGCAAGUGGCCCAAAAGUGAACAUCUUUUAUCAGCCCACUACGGUUUUGUUGUUUCUCUGGCUAAAUGAAGCCCUCCUGUCCUGCUGUGCACAGGUUUAGCUGAUUUCAGAACUAACAAUUGGCUAAAGGAUCUAGAAGGAACAGAUUUACUAGUAGGCAUUCGCACAGUCCUUUAGAAUAGUUUUCAUUGUGUAAUCUCUUGCAGUAAUGGCUGCGGGGGGGGGGGGGUCUUUUUUCUGGCAAGAGGGUCUGCCAGUGUUUUCUCAACCCCAUUUUUGCUUUCUGCUCAGAAGAUGCAGAAUGAAGUUCUCCACCCAGUACCAGCCAGAGAAGAUUGACCUUUGGAAGAAAGCUUAUAAUUUUUGGUAACUCAGUGCUUAAGAAUGUGAUUGGUAUGGCCAUAAUUGGACAGACUGGCUACUCUCCAGAAUGGAGAGUUACAUCGAACUUUGAUUGGGUUUGUGUGCAAAGUUUCUUAGGCCAUUGAUUGCCAUUUGUUCCCCUCCCCCCCCCUUUUUUUCCCCCCCUUUUCUGUAAUUCUGCAGAUGCUGGUUCUGGGGCAUCUGAUGAUCUGUUCAGUAAAGUUGGUUCAGUUAGUGGUAUGCAUGAUCUGCUUCCAUAAGGCAAGGAACAGAGGGGGUUAGGUGUGUUUCCAGAAAAAAAUGUUCUCUUUUCUGUCCUGAUACUUUUUUGGAAGCUGUAACAUUUUUAACCAAACUGUGCAAAAGUUUCCAUUGUGUUACAAUGUUUAUUGGAAAUUUUAUAUGUGGCAGUCGCUUUUAAAAUUGCUCUUUCUCAAAAUCUUCAACCAGUUGAGUGAACCCUGGGGAGGGCAUUCCCGUUGGAAGAAACCCGCACUUCUUCCACCAGUGGUUUCAGGUCCCCGCCCCCUUUGGAUGAGGCUGUUAGCUAGCAGCUAUCAUUGGGAUUUGCAUCUUUUAAAGUAAAAAUUUGUGGAGUGCUCUUCCUCAUUUACAGAGGAACAUUUCAUUCUCUUAUUAAGCUACAGAAGAGAGUUUUGGAAAGCCUUUGUAUGUCAGCUUUUUCCAGUUCUGGUUCUGUAAACUGUUCUCUACUGUUAAAUAUCUAUUUUCCAGGGGAUCCCUUACAGUCCUUUUUUAAAAAAUAAUUUCCUGAUGCUCAGAAAGGAAUAUAGGUACUGGCUGGGCACACUGCUAAACCGGCAAGUUAAUUUGCUAGAAAAUGAGGUGAAAUAUGUUCGUGUAGGGAUUCCUUCAUCUCUCCUUGCAUGUGUAACAAGGAGAAGGUGGUAAGCUUGGAGUUAACGAACUCCUGAGUUCGUAUGCCAUCUGGCAGUGGCGUGUAUCCAGAACAAUCCAUUUAAAAAUCUAAUCUAAUUUUUCCAAAAGGCAAAUACCAAAAAAAUCAGAAGGCUAGCCCAUGUCUGAACUGCUUUUUUGCUUCUGUCUAUAACCUAGGUGGUUCUCUUUUUUUGUUUCGCUCUGUUUCUGUCUGUUUCACACUUAUCCACCAAAACAGGAAUUCCUUGAAAUUGGUACUCUUGAGUCUUGAUUGGCUAUAGCUUUGCUGCUUGUCUUUAGAGCUCCCUGCUUUCCCACUAGCUUUAGGUUUGAAUCCCAGUAACUAUCAAGAAAUCCAUAUUCUCUCUAGGUGAUUUGCUCCUUCUUAUAGUUGAAGGUAUUGUAUGAUCUUUCCUCAUCUCUACUGUAUUGCUGAUCUCAUCUUCUAGCAAAAUGGCAAGGGCAUUCAGAAUGAGGGAUGGACAUUGGGAGGAGGGCUUGUCAUUCCUGUCUGCUGUGAUAGGACAUGGGUAGUAGCUGGCCUCUUCUGGCCACUUCUGCAUCUUCUUCAGUAGUGCGCAGAUGGAAGUGUGAAUAUUGCUAUCUGUAUAUUAACAAGGCUUCUCUAUCUGUAUAUUAACAUGUGUGCAUAUGCCCUCUGUGUCAUCAUAACCAAGUUAAAUUGAGAGUGUUUGCCUUGUUGCUUUUCCAGCAGUAUACUGUGUUAAGUGAGGGUGAGUUCCAGGUCAGAUCAAACCAGCAGUUCAUUUUCUUGUAUUCCCUGUCUUUUAGGACAAUUCACUGCUACUGGCAGAUCAUUCCAGGGACUCUGGACAUACUACAAAAAGAAUACCAACUGUUGAACGAUAUGAAAGUUUCAAAGCUACAAUUAACAACAAUGUAAAAACUAUCAAAUAGAGCUAAGUAACGGUUACUGAGGGCUGUUGCUUUUCAUCUGGAACAGUGUCCCUUUUCCAAGUGAGAAACAUUUUGGGCUGCUCAUAUAAUGAAGAUACAUGGAUACUGCACCUCAUGGCUGAUGCAUUAAACUUGUGUGCAACUUCAGCAUGAGCUUUUUAUUAGACCAGGAUUGAAUCUUUAUUUUUUAAAUUUUGGUGGGUGGAAAGAUCAGCUAGUCAAAUGUCAUGCCUUUGCUCAUUCCCACCAAGUUUGUUUUCUGUAGGGUUGAUUCUGCUGGGAAGCAGUGCUUUGUUGUUGUUUUUCCUGCUUUCCUACAGCAUCUAGGUGUAUUGGGCACUUCUUGGGUUUCUCCAGUCUGUCUCAAACUUGCUUUGCUCCAAAGUUUUGGAAAAGAUCACAGAAAAGCCUGGAUGGCUGCCAAGUGAGCAGGAAAGUUCGGAUUUCUCCAGUCCCACCCGUGCUGUAGCCAUUUCUCCCAUGGCAGCCAUUUGUUCUCCCUGCUACCUAGAGGCCAGUUUGGUUUUGGUUUUUAAAAUGGCCAUUGAAGAUCAUAUUGAUAUAACAAUAUGUGUAACGGGUUCUCUUCGUUACCAGCUUUCACUUAUAAAAAAUCCAUUUCUUACCCAUUUCAUUUUCAAAGCCAAAUCGAAAGGAACAAGAGGAAAUACAAUGAAAUUAAAGAAAAAAGUAAAGAUUCAGAAGGCUUUUAUGGCCAGAAUCAACUGGCUGUUAACGGUUUUCUGAGCUAUGUGGUGGUCUGGUGGUUUUAGCUCCUAAUGUUUCGCCCACAUCUGUGGUUGGCAUCUUCAGUGGCAUGUCACCGUAAGAUCUGUUCUUACAGUGACAUACAUCUAAAGAUGCCAGCCACUGAUGUGGGCUAAACAUUAGGAGCUGAAACCACUAGACCAUGACCAUACAGCCUGGAAAUCCGCAACAGCCAGAUUCAGAGACACUUUAAGACACUUCCUUAAAAUAUUGUGUUGAUAUGAGUUGUCACUUUAAAAAGAGAACUGGAAAGGUCCUGAUGGUGACCACUGCUAGGAAACUGAGCAGGGAAAUUAUAGGGAAAUCUCCUAUGUGGAAGUUCCAUGCCCCUGCAACAACAAGGAAACUUCCUGUGAGGUUGCUGCUUUCAUCUACAAGACUGUUCUUGCACAAAGUACGGCAGCAACAGAUUCCAAGUUAUCUUUUUGUUUGUAAAGACUUCAAAGAAUCUGCAGGUAUAUCUGGCAGAUUCUUUUAAAAGCCUGAUGGCUUGUCUUGGUAAUAGAUAACUGUAUGUUAAAAUUGAAGUGUCAAUUGACCCUUGUUAUACUGUGAAGAAGCGCCUCAACCAAAUCAUGAUAUUUGAUGUAGUAUAGCACUGUCAGAGUAUCUUCUGAGAUGGAUGCAGACUGUAUAGGGUUAGGGAAAAUGUGUUAUUUCAAUGAUAAAAUACUGUAACUAGAGCCCUGUGAAAAUGUUAUAUCCCUGCACAAAAAGCAAUAUUUCUUGGUUUUCUGCAAAUGCAUGCUUAUAUGCAUACACCCUCUCCAGUUAUUAUGAAGGGAAAAGGAACUACAUUUGAGUAGGAAGCAAAAAAAUGUUUACUUGCAUCCCUGUGUGGGGCCUUCGUGCCCUCUAAUUCAGCAUCGCUUGUGCCUAAUAGUUCAAUGCAGCUAUUCUCAGUCUUCUGAACUAUACUGAGUCUUUUGGACUAUCCUCUGUUCCUGUGAAGAGAGAGGUUACUAUUGCAAAGUCUUGGACAUCUUUCCAUGGAGGAAAUUCUGUUUGCCUAUAAUAACUUUCAAGACAAGAAUUUUGACAUUUUCCUGUUUCAGACACUAAAUGUAUUAGACUUGCCAGCCCAAUUCAAAACUGUUCCUCUUUGGGAUAUUUAUUGCUAAUACUGACUUUUCAUCAACUUAGUUUAACAAAGUUGAACUUCAGUGUUUUCCGGUGUUGUUAAAAUUCACUGCAUUCUUUCAAAUAACACUAUGUGUAUGAUUAGUUCCAGAAUGUAGAGACUAGAUAAUGAAGUUAGUAGAAAAAAAUGAAUUUAGGGAAAUGUUAUUUUCCUUAGGAUGUGUGAAUUCUUAUCUGCAAAAUGGUGUUAAUAAACAGCACUUAAGUAUUUUUCA